Molecule: ribosomal RNA, 387 nt
Filed under: uncultured bacterium
Lineage: Bacteria
Description: bacterial SSU rRNA
Rfam family: Bacterial small subunit ribosomal RNA
Source: RNAcentral
AGAGUUUGAUCCUGGCUCAGAUUGAACGCUGGCGGCAGGCCUAACACAUGCAAGUCGAGCGGAUGAGUGGAGCUUGCUCCAUGAUUCAGCGGCGGACGGGUGAGUAAUGCCUAGGAAUCUGCCUGGUAGUGGGGGACAACGUUUCGAAAGGAACGCUAAUACCGCAUACGUCCUACGGGAGAAAGCAGGGGACCUUCGGGCCUUGCGCUAUCAGAUGAGCCUAGGUCGGAUUAGCUAGUAGGUGAGGUAAUGGCUCACCUAGGCGACGAUCCGUAACUGGUCUGAGAGGAUGAUCAGUCACACUGGAACUGAGACACGGUCCAGACUCCUACGGGAGGCAGCAGUGGGGAAUAUUGGGACAAUGGGCGAAAGCCUGAUCCAGCCAUG